AACCAUAGGGAUGGGAACCCAUGGAGAGCGGAACCAUAGAGAUGGGAACCCAUACAGAUAGGAACCAUAGAGAUGGGAACCAUAUAGACGGGAACCACAGAGAUGGGAACCCAUGGAGAGUGGAACCGUAGGGAUGGGAACCAUAGAGAUGGGAACCCAUGGAGAGUGGAACCAUAAAGGUGGGAACCAUAGGGAUGGGAACCCAUGGAGAGUGGAACCAUAGAGAUGGGAACCAUAGAGAUGGGAACCCAUGGAGAGUGGAACCAUAGAGAUGGG
Molecule: long non-coding RNA, 276 nt
Filed under: Gallus gallus (chicken)
Lineage: Eukaryota; Metazoa; Chordata; Aves; Galliformes; Phasianidae
Source: RNAcentral